This 1353-nucleotide ribosomal RNA is filed under the name uncultured bacterium. RNAcentral describes it as "bacterial SSU rRNA". It matches the Rfam family "Bacterial small subunit ribosomal RNA", at positions 28 to 1381 of the family's 1533-position model. The record is from RNAcentral.
GAUGAACGCUGGCGGCGUGCUUAACACAUGCAAGUCGAACGAAGCACUUGAAAACGAUUCUUCGGAUGAAGUCUUUUGUGACUGAGUGGCGGACGGGUGAGUAACGCGUGGGUAACCUGCCUCACACAGGGGGAUAACAGUUGGAAACGACCGCUAAUACCGCAUAAGCCGCCGGUGCCGCAUGGCACUGACGGAAAAGAUUUUAUCGGUGUGAGAUGGACCCGCGUCUGAUUAGCCAGUUGGCACGGUAACGGCCUACCAAAGCGACUAUCAGUAGCCGGCCUGACAGGGUGAACGGCCACAUUGGGACUGACACACGGCCCAGACUCCUGCGGGAGGCAUCGGUGGGGAAUAUUGCACAAUGGGGGAAACCCUGAUGCAACGACACCGCGUGAGUGAAAAAGUAUUUCUGUAUGUAAAGCUCUAUCAGCAUGAAAGAAAAUGACGGUACCUGAUUAAUAAGCCCCGGCUAACUACGUGCCACCAGCCGCGGUAAUACGUAAGGGGCAAGCGUUAUCCGGAUUUACUGGGUGUAAAGGGAGCGUAGACGGUGAUGCAAGUCAUAAGUGAAAGCCCGGGGCUCAACUCCCGGACUGCUUUUGAAACUGUGUGACUGGAGUGCAAGAGUGGUAAACGGAAUUCCUGGUGUAGCGGUGAAAUGCGUAGAUAUCAGGAGGAACACCAUUGGCAAAGGCGGCUUACUGGACUGUAACUGACAUUGGGGCUCGAAAGCGUGGGGAGCAAACAGGAUUAGAUACCCUGCUAGUCCACGCCGUAAACGAUGAAUAUUAGGUGUCGGGGAGCGAAGCUCUUCGGUGCCGCACCAAACGCAUUAAAUAUUCCACCUGGGGAGUACGUUCGCAAGAAUGAAACUCAAAGGAAUUGACGGGGACCCGCACAAGCGGUGGAGCAUGUGGUUUAAUUCGAAGCAACGCGAAGAACCUUACCAGGUCUUGACAUCCCUCUGACCGGGAUUUAACCAUCCCUUUCCUUCGGGACAGAGGUGACAGGUGGUGCAUGGUUGUCGUCAGCUCGUGUCGUGAGAUGUUGGGUUAAGUCCCGCAACGAGCGCAACCCUUACCUUCAGUAGCCAGCGGUUCGGCCGGGCACUCUGGAGGGACUGCCAGGGACAACCCGGAGGAAGGUGGGGAUGACGUCAAAUCAUCAUGCCCCUUAUGAUCUGGGCUACACACGUGCUACAGUGGCGUAAACAAAGGGAAGCGAGACAGUGAUGGCAAGCAAAUCUCAGAAAUAACGUCUCAGUUCAGAUUGCAGUUUGCAACUGGAUUGCAUGAAGCUGGAAUCGCUAGUAAUCGCGAAUCAGAAUGUCGCGGUGAAUACGUUCCCGGGUCU